This 585-nucleotide ribosomal RNA is filed under the name Enterococcus gallinarum. RNAcentral describes it as "partial 16S ribosomal RNA". It matches the Rfam family "Bacterial small subunit ribosomal RNA", at positions 56 to 617 of the family's 1533-position model. Lineage: Bacteria; Bacillati; Bacillota; Bacilli; Lactobacillales; Enterococcaceae. The record is from RNAcentral.
UGCAGUCGAACGCUUUUUCUUUCWCCGGAGCUUGCAUCACCGAAAGAAAAAGAGUGUCGAACGGGUGAAUAAUACCUGRGUAACCUGCAUAUCCUACCGGGAUAACACUUGGAAACAGGUGCUAAUACCGUAUAACACUAUUUUCCGCAUGGAAUAAAGUGCAAAGGCGCUUUUGCGUCACUGAUGGAUGGACCCGCGGGGCAAUAGCUAGUUGGUGAGGUAACGGCUCACCGAGCCACGAUGCAUAGCCGACCUGAGAAGGUGAUCGGCCACWCUGGGACUGACACACGGCCCARACUCCUACGGGAGGCAGCUGUAGGGAACUUCGGCAAUGGACGAAAGUCUGACCGAGCAACGCCGCGUGAGUGAARAAGGUUGUCUGAGGUAAAACUCUGUUGUUACAGAAGAACGAGGAUGAGASUAAAACGUUCAUCCCUUGCCGGUAUCUAACCAGAAGGCCACSGUUAACCACAUUCCAUCAGCCKCRGUAAUACGUAGGUGGCUGGCKUUGUCCGGAUUUAUUGCGCGUGAMGURACCGCAGGCCGUUUCUUAARUCUGAUGUUCUAGCCCCCRGCUCAGCCRGG